Long non-coding RNA from Papaver somniferum (opium poppy), 1415 nucleotides. RefSeq lists it as uncharacterized. Lineage: Eukaryota; Viridiplantae; Streptophyta; Magnoliopsida; Ranunculales; Papaveraceae. The record is from RefSeq and is a predicted model, not a curated record. The transcript is spliced from 10 exons.
CUAUCUUUUCUCUUCUCAUCGCCUCCCUUGAAGAGAUGGGUUUCACCAGUUUCGAUCUGUUAAUUCAGUCAUCUGAUAAAUCGAUCAAAGAGAUUAGAUAUUAGAGUCUUGCAACAGUUUUGAUAUGUUAUUUCAAUCUUUAAAGUUUUAUCUGUUGAAGAACUUUGAAGAACUUCUAAGGGUUUAAAAGAUUGAAGAACUUUGAAGAACUAAAGUUGAGAUAAGAAGAAAUCAAAGACUGGGUUUGGUGGUUUGAGAAGUGAAUCGAUGUUUUGAACUUUGAUUAGAGAGAAGAAAGAAUUGGGAAUUAUUUUCGGGUUCUGAGUAUAGAUGAUGGUGAUUGAAGAUGAAUUUGAUGGUUAGGGGUUGAAGUGAUGAUUUAAAAGUUCAAUUGAGGCAUAACAAGGAAUCAAGAUCAACUACUUCAAUCUAGGAAUUUGAUUUAAGGAGUUUCAAGGCGUUGUUGGAUUGGACGACAAUGAGGAUCUAGUGUCAGAUAUGAUUGAAGUUCCUCUUCGCACAGUGGAGAUUCUUGUUGCUUGUCAUGUGUUGGUCUUUGUGGACAGCAAGAUGUUGCAGGUUGGUGACCCUGUUGAAAAGGCAGCGCUUAAAGGAAUAGACUGGACUUGCACAUCAGAUGAAUAGGCUAUGUCCAAAAAGGUAUGUGGUAACCGUUCGGUGCAGAUUGUUCAGAGACACCACUUUGCGUCUCACUCGAAACAUAUGGCAGUUGUGACUCGUAUUCAAGAUGAUUUUUUUUGGCUUUUGUGAAGGUUGAUAGUUCUUGAAGGACGGAUGUCUAUGUAUUCAGCUUAUUAAGGACAAAGGAUGUGGGUGACGCAGAGACAUUGGAAAUCAUGUGAUGUAGAAGAGAGCGUAGUCUAUGAAAGAUGGAAGUAGUUAAAGAGAGCCCUUGGACAAAAUCGGAUUUGACGGUUUGAUAAGAGCAAGCUAACAACACCCUUAGCCUUUUUGACAGUGGCAUUGGUAUGACCAAGUCAGAUGUGGUGAACAACCCUGGUACCGUUGCAAGGUAUGAAACCAAAGAAUGCAUGGAAGCUUUGGUUGCUGGUGCUGAUGUUAGUUUUUGAUUAGACGGUUUGGUGUUCGUUUCUACUCUGCAUACCUUGUAGCUGAUUUGCUCCAAUACCCACUCAACCAGUACGCAAGAGAAAGCAAAGACUGUUAUUUGAGUUCUGCGUCUAUUAAUUUUGUCUUGUAUGUUCUCAAGUUCUAAACAGAUUUUGUAUGAGCUUGAAGACGUAGACGACAAUAAUGACUUGUUUUAUUCUUUCAACAACGACAACUUAACAUAAUUCUAACCAUUAUGUUAAGAAUAAAACAAGUCAUUAUUGUUGAAUGUGUGAUAGAGUUUUGUUGGAUUGAGUGAAUGAUUUAUGCAGGUAAUUUAUUUU